GAUGAACGCUGGCGGCGUGCCUAAUACAUGCAAGUCGAGCGAACAGACGAGGAGCUUGCUCCUCUGACGUUAGCGGCGGACGGGUGAGUAACACGUGGAUAACCUACCUAUAAGACUGGGAUAACUUCGGGAAACCGGAUCUAAUACCGGAUAAUAUAUUGAACCGCAUGGUUCAAUAGAGAAAGACGGUUUUGCUGUCACUUAUAGAUGGAUCCGCGCCGCAUUAGCUAGUUGGUAAGGUAACGGCUUACCAAGGCGACGAUGCGUAGCCGACCUGAGAGGGUGAUCGGCCACACUGGAACUGAGACACGGUCCAGACUCCUACGGGAGGCAGCAGUAGGGAAUCUUCCGCAAUGGGCGAAAGCCUGACGCAGCAACGCCGCGUGAGUGAUGAAGGUCUUCGGAUCGUAAAACUCUGUUAUUAGGGAAGAACAAAUGUGUAAGUAACUAUGCACGUCUUGACGGUACCUAAUCAGAAAGCCACGGCUAACUACGUG
RNAcentral lists this ribosomal RNA (497 nucleotides) under uncultured bacterium. RNAcentral describes it as "partial 16S ribosomal RNA". It matches the Rfam family "Bacterial small subunit ribosomal RNA", at positions 28 to 507 of the family's 1533-position model. The record is from RNAcentral.